RNAcentral lists this ribosomal RNA (429 nucleotides) under Bacillota bacterium. Its description in RNAcentral is "Firmicutes bacterium partial 16S ribosomal RNA". It matches the Rfam family "Bacterial small subunit ribosomal RNA", at positions 355 to 776 of the family's 1533-position model. Lineage: Bacteria; Bacillati; Bacillota. The record is from RNAcentral.
UGGGGAAUUUUGGACAAUGGGCGAAAGCCUGAUCCAGCAAUGCCGCGUGUGUGAAGAAGGCCUUCGGGUUGUAAAGCACUUUUGUCCGGAAAGAAAUGGCUCUGGUUAAUACCUGGGGUCGAUGACGGUACCGGAAGAAUAAGGACCGGCUAACUACGUGCCAGCAGCCGCGGUAAUACGUAGGGUCCAAGCGUUAAUCGGAAUUACUGGGCGUAAAGCGUGCGCAGGCGGUUGUGCAAGACCGAUGUGAAAUCCCCGAGCUUAACUUGGGAAUUGCAUUGGUGACUGCACGGCUAGAGUGUGUCAGAGGGGGGUAGAAUUCCACCUGUAGCAGUGAAAUGCGUAGAGAUGUGGAGGAAUACCGAUGGCGAAGGCAGCCCCCUGGGAUAACACUGACGCUCAUGCACGAAAGCGUGGGGAGCAAACAGG